CAUAUCACUCGGCUGCUGGGGGGCAGGAACAACUACCUCUGCCCCCUGUAACUCAGCCUGCCACUGGGGAGGGAGGACGCUGCUCUCCUCUCCCUGCACUUUACACUGCCGCUGGGGAAUGGAGACUGGGCUCCCAAUUCCCUGCUGCAUCUGACGCUGGAGUUUCUCCCAACGUGCCAACUGACCUUCUCUUUCUGCCCGUUGUUGCAGCCUCUCUAACACUAGGUUCCUCACGAACCGCACCGAUCUCUCCUGUGGGUUGGAUCCGAAAAAGCUUAGGUGAAACCACACCAUCCGGUCAUACUCUCUCAUAGAGUAG
Pelobates cultripes (western spadefoot toad) is the source of this 319-nucleotide non-coding RNA. The record is from the annotation of a GenBank genome assembly. NCBI's taxonomy places the organism in Eukaryota, Metazoa, Chordata, Amphibia, Anura, Pelobatidae.